GCGGGUUUUGAGAAGUGCAAGUCUCCUGCCCAGGUGCAUCUUCCUCCUGACUUCAUUCAGCAGCUUCAAAUCGAUUGUCUAGACGAAGAUUUGCAAGCGGUAUUGUUUGACAACUUGUCAAGAUUCACAAUGACAUCCUAUUUUUGAGAUGAGACAGACAAGAUCAAUGCAGCCAUCCAGACUGAAAGAAUCAUCUACACCGAGGAAUACCAUCCUACAGAUGACUACCCUAGCAUCCCCCUGAAGAAUGAUUUAUGCUCUCUUUUUUGUGAUCCAAGGCCCCU
This 284-nucleotide long non-coding RNA is filed under the name Elaeis guineensis (African oil palm). Its description in RNAcentral is "long non-coding RNA (EGUI_LNC026962)". The record is from RNAcentral. Lineage: Eukaryota; Viridiplantae; Streptophyta; Magnoliopsida; Arecales; Arecaceae.